Molecule: unclassified non-coding RNA, 332 nt
Filed under: soil metagenome
Description: partial contains 5.8S ribosomal RNA, internal transcribed spacer 2, and large subunit ribosomal RNA
Rfam family: 5.8S ribosomal RNA (bases 1-120)
Source: RNAcentral
GAUGAAGAACGUAGCGAAAGGCGAUAAGUAGUGUGAAUUACAGAAUUCAGUGAAUCAUCGAAUCUUUGAACGCACAUUGCGCCCUUUGGUAUUCCUUAGGGCAUGCCUGUUCGAGCGUCAUUUAAACCUUCAAGCUCAGCUUGGUGUUGGGUGACUGUCCGCUUCACCGCGGACUCGCCUCAAAAUUAUUGGCGGCCGGUACAUUGGCUUCGAGCGCAGCAGAAACGCGAACUCGGGCCCGUCGUAUUGGCUCCCAGAAGCUAUCUUCACAAUUUUGACCUCGGAUCAGGUAGGGAUACCCGCUGAACUUAAGCAUAUCAAUAAGCGGAGGA